CGCUCCAAGUAAAAUUAGAGAUGAUGCAUCACUAUGUUUCAAUUUAGUAAAAUUUUGAUCAAAGUAGUCCUAGUGAGGAGUCACAGAAUUUUUAAAGUUGAGAUGCAAUGUUGACCACUUUUUCUGGGUUGACAAUUUAACCCUUAGUCAUCCUUGAGCAUCAAGUGUCAAAAGGAUGAAUUAUACGGUAACUAUAUCCACAUGGGUUCUAGAGUGUUGCUGGGCAUACAUUCGGCCUAUCCGGAC
Molecule: long non-coding RNA, 246 nt
Filed under: Elaeis guineensis (African oil palm)
Lineage: Eukaryota; Viridiplantae; Streptophyta; Magnoliopsida; Arecales; Arecaceae
Description: long non-coding RNA (EGUI_LNC069578)
Source: RNAcentral